ACAGUCACACAUUAGAUACCCCCGUAGUCCCAGCCGUAAACUAUGCUCGCUAGGUGUCAGGCAUGGCGCGACCGUGUCUGGUGCCGCAGGGAAGCCGUGGAGCGAGCCACCUGGGAAGUACGGCCGCAAGGCUGAAACUUAAAGGAAUUGGCGGGGGAGCACAACAACGGGUGGAGCCUGCGGUUUAAUUGGACUCAACGCCGGACAACUCACCGGGGACGACAGCAAUAUGUAGGCCAGGCUGAAGACCUUGCCUGAAUCGCUG
This 265-nucleotide ribosomal RNA is filed under the name uncultured archaeon. RNAcentral's name for it is "partial 16S ribosomal RNA". It matches the Rfam family "Archaeal small subunit ribosomal RNA", at positions 716 to 982 of the family's 1478-position model. The record is from RNAcentral.